GCCAGGAAGCCUUCUCCAGGUUUGCCUCCAACUUCAUCUUGGAUUCCCAGAGUUUGCCUCUCUUGGGGCUCCCAAGGAAAGCUUGGCCCAUCACCCCCAGGCUUCUAGAGUAUGGGGGGGCAGUGUGUACUCUGGGAAUCACUGGGCAAGAGUGCACCUCAAAAUCCUGCCACAGGAGAGAAAGCAAGGACGGCAGCCAGGGUAUGAUGAACAAGACAUUGGACUGCAGAAAACCUGGCUUCAAAUCCUUCCUCAGAGACCUAUUAACUUGGGAAUUUCUGCCUUAAGAUUCGUCAUCUGUCAGAUGAAUGGCUUGGACCGGAUAGCUUCACGAUCCUAAAUCUGGGCGAGGGAGUCCUCGAACGUGAGGUGGAGAAUCCAUGAACAUUGUGCUCCAGGGACAGGGGCAGCUAGGGGUGCAAUGGUCAGAGUGCUGGGCUGGAGUCGGGAAGACUCGGGAACAAAUCUGGCUUCAGACACUUAACUGUGUCGCUUAACUCUACCUUAGUUUCUUCAUUUGUAAAAUGAGCUGGAAAAGGACACAUCAAACCACUCUAGUGCCUUUGUCAACAAAAUCCUAAAAGGAGUCAUGACACAGCUAAAGGUGACUCAAGAUGGGCCAUCACAGGGCUCAAUGCUGGGGAUGCAAGAAGAGGGAAAAGGCCUAGGAUUCAACCUUCUCAGCUACUCACUGCUCCCUCCCACCCACCCAACCUUUCCUGAAUAGGGACAAGGAAGGAAAACCAAGGUUACUGCCAAAGUCCAGAAGGGAGAAGAUGCACCGCAGGAAUGACUGACCACAGUGGAGACUUAAAAGAGAGGAAAAGUUGGCAAUUGUUUGGAUAUAACAGCCAAGAGAGUAAGGAGUUUGAAAAGGCUUCACGGCUGAGAACCUGAGGGAUUGGGAAGAUGGUGGCUCAAGACUGGGACAGGGAAGUUCAGAAGAGGUUUGGGGGAAAGGAGUUCUAUAUUAUAUAUGUUAUGAUAUGAUAUAUUAUAAGUUCUAUAUUAGACAUGUCAAGUUUGAAAUGUCUCUGGGCCAAGAAGGAUGUGGCUCUGAACCUCCAAGAGACUGAAGCUGGAUCUGUAGAUUUGGGAGUCAUUUGCCCAGUUACCUUAUCUCCAUGGCUAGGGAAAUGCUGAGAUCCUGAACACUGUACCCACAGAUCCUUACAGUCCUGAGUGAUUUUAAAUUAUUAUGAAAUCCACCUCAGUUCAGGAAGAUCUGCCUCUGUUUGGGGACUAGUGUCUGCCUCCUUCCCUGCUUCCCUCUUGCCAGAAGGGGGAAUAAAAGGGCCAAGGGUUCCCAUUGUAUCCAGAGCCAUCUCUAGUCCUCCUGAUCUAUAUCUGGCCCUGGACCCAGAAGGCUCUGGAGGGGAAAGUGAGGCUGGUGACCUUGCCCAGCCCUCCCUCCCUCAAAUCCAAAUCCCUUUUAUGUCAUGGAGUCACCUUCCUGAUGUCAUGGUCCUCUUUGAGAAUGAAGAACAGACAACAUUGAACAGAUAAUUAAAUCCACGGGAACUGAUGAGGCUCCCAAGGAAAAAGAGAGCAGGGUCUGGAACUCACCACUGGGAGUAUGAUAUGAUGUGAUGAUAGGAAAACCAGCAAAGACCAUUGAAAUAGUGAAAAACAGGCACAACUAAUGUACUGUUGGGAUGGAGAUGGAGUCCAGCUCAGUGAUGGCUCCAUGACGGAUUGUUUUGUAUGAAUGAAGAAAAUCCUUCCAUCACUGUAAAUGAUGGAAGGGAUGGAUUCAAACCAAUCUGGGAACGCCUUCGGGAACUGACACACAAAGGACAGAAAAAGAAGCGGCUGUGAAGCUGUCAGUCCCACAUGAAGCUUACUUUUUGAAAAGCAUCCAACUUGAAUAUUACCUUCAAAGUUGGUCUGUC
This is a long non-coding RNA of Antechinus flavipes (yellow-footed antechinus), 1892 nucleotides long. RefSeq lists it as uncharacterized. The record is from RefSeq and is a predicted model, not a curated record. Lineage: Eukaryota; Metazoa; Chordata; Mammalia; Dasyuromorphia; Dasyuridae. The transcript is spliced from 2 exons.